GAUGAACGCUGGCGGCGUGCCUAAUACAUGCAAGUCGAGCGAACAGACGAGGAGCUUGCUCCUCUGACGUUAGCGGCGGACGGGUGAGUAACACGUGGAUAACCUACCUAUAAGACUGGGAUAACUUCGCGAAACCGGAGCUAAUACCGGAUAAUAUAUUGAACCGCAUGGUUCAAUAGUGAAAGACGGUUUUGCUGUCACUUAUAGAUGGAUCCGCGCCGCAUUAGCUAGUUGGUAAGGUAACGGCUUACCAAGGCAACGAUGCGUAGCCGACCUGAGAGGGUGAUCGGCCACACUGGAACGGAGACACGGUCCAGACUCCUAAGGGAGGCAACAGUAGGGAAUCUUCCGCAAUGGGCGAAAGCCUGACGGAGCAAAGCCGCGUGAGUGAUGAAGGUCUUCGGAUCGGAAAACUCUGUUAUUAGGGAAGAACAAAUGUGUAAGUAACUAUGCACGUCUUGACGGUACCUAAUCAGAAAGCCACGGCUAACUACGUG
Molecule: ribosomal RNA, 497 nt
Filed under: uncultured bacterium
Lineage: Bacteria
Description: partial 16S ribosomal RNA
Rfam family: Bacterial small subunit ribosomal RNA
Source: RNAcentral